AUGUGAUCUAAGAGUGAACUCGAUGUUGCACAUUCCAAAUUUCCAAUCCCUACCUCAUUGAUUUCUUCCUCACGGUCACGGCAUGGCACAACGGGACGUUGCAAGGUCUUGUCCAAGCAAUGCAUUUAUGCCCCCCACAACUCACAAUCACAGCUCGUCAACUUAGGUUAGUCUCAAUGGAGUUUUAUUAGAGUUUUAUAAACAUUAAAUAUAUUGAUGUGACAUUAUAUUAAUGAAGAGAAAUGAUAAGAGUUUUACGAGGGUAG
Molecule: long non-coding RNA, 266 nt
Filed under: Sorghum bicolor (sorghum)
Lineage: Eukaryota; Viridiplantae; Streptophyta; Magnoliopsida; Poales; Poaceae
Description: long non-coding RNA (SBIC_LNC005739)
Source: RNAcentral